GCAGAGAUCAGAACUCGUACCUUUUGCAUCAUGAUUUAGCUAGCACUUUCAAGCAAAGAGAACUUAAAGUUUGUAACCCCGAAACUGAGUGAGCUACUCCAAGACAGCCUAAUUAUAGGGCAAACCCGUCUCUGUGGCAAAAGAGUGGGAAGAGCUUUGAGUAGAGGUGACAGACCUACCGAACCCAGUUAUAGCUGGUUGCCCGUGAAUUGGAUAGAAGUUCAGCCCCCUAGGUUCCCCACAAACUAAGGGCGUUAGUCAAAGGGGGUACAGCCCCUUUGAAAAAAGACACAACUUUUACAGCAGGAUAAAGAUCAUAUUUAAUCAAGGACAAAUGUUUUAGUGGGCCUAAAAGCAGCCACCUUAACAGAAAGCGUUAAAGCUCAGACAUACUAUACCGAUAACCUUAUCUUAAUCCCCUAAAUUUAACGGGCCCCCCUAUGCUAAACAUGGGGAUGACCAUGCUAAUAUGAGUAAUAAGAGAAUACUCUCUCCUCGCACAUGUGUAAAUCGGAACGGACCCCCCACCGACUCUUAACGGCCCCAAUCAAAGAGGGCAUUGGAAUACGACUAGAAAAACAUCCCCCGUUAACCCCACACUGGUGUGCCCCAGAGGAAAGACCAAAGGGGGGAGAAGGAACUCGGCAAACAAGCCUCGCCUGUUUACCAAAAACAUCGCCUCUUGCAAGUAUAAGAGGUCCCGCCUGCCCAGUGACAGCAUAUGUUUAACGGCCGCGGUAUUUUGACCGUGCAAAGGUAGCGUAAUCACUUGUCUUUUAAAUGAAGACCCGUAUGAAUGGCAUAACGAGGGCUUAACUGUCUCCUUCCCCCGGUCAAUGAAAUUGAUCUCCCCGUGCAGAGGCGGGGAUACCCCCAUAAGACGAGAAGACCCUAUGGAGCUUUAGACGCAAAGGCAGAUCAUGUCAAAUACACCCAACUAUGGAACCUGAACUAAAUGAAGCCAGCCUUGAUGUCUUCGGUUGGGGCGACCAUGGGGAACACAAAACCCCCACGUGGAAAAGGAGUACUCCUACAAACCAGAGCGACAGCUCUAAUCAGCAGAAAUUCUGACCAAACUGAUCCGGCAACGCCGAUCAACGAAUCAAGUUACCCUAGGGAUAACAGCGCAAUCCCCUUUUAGAGCCCAUAUCGACAAGGGGGUUUACGACCUCGAUGUUGGAUCAGGACAUCCUAAUGGUGCAG
Molecule: ribosomal RNA, 1203 nt
Filed under: Paralichthys californicus (California flounder)
Lineage: Eukaryota; Metazoa; Chordata; Actinopteri; Pleuronectiformes; Paralichthyidae
Description: partial 16S ribosomal RNA
Rfam family: Bacterial large subunit ribosomal RNA
Source: RNAcentral